GAUGAACGCUGGCGGCGUGCCUAAUACAUGCAAGUCGAGCGAACAGACGAGGAGCUUGCUCCUCUGACGUUAGCGGCGGACGGGUGAGUAACACGUGGAUAACCUACCUAUAAGACUGGGAUAACUUCGGGAGACCGGAGCUAAUACCGGAUAAUAUAUUGAACCGCAUGGUUCAAUAGUGAAAGACGGUUUUGCUGUCACUUAUAGAUGUAUCCGCGCCGCAUUAGUUAGUUGGUAAGGUAACGGCUUACCAAGGCUACGAUACGUAGCCGACCUGAGAGGGUGCUUGACGACACUAGAAAUGUGACAAGGGCAAGAAUGCUACGGGGAUCGAGAGCAGGGAAUAAUGCCCAAUGCCCGAAUACCAGGCGGAACAGCGUCGCGUCGGUCAUAAAGAACUUCGGAUCGUAGAAAUCUAUAAUUAGAAAAAAACAAAUCUGUAAGAAACUAUGCACGUUUUGACGGUACCUAAUCAGAAAGCCACGGGUAACUACAUG
This 497-nucleotide ribosomal RNA is filed under the name uncultured bacterium. RNAcentral describes it as "partial 16S ribosomal RNA". It matches the Rfam family "Bacterial small subunit ribosomal RNA", at positions 28 to 507 of the family's 1533-position model. The record is from RNAcentral.